GCUUAAAUAGCUCAGUUGGUUAGAGUAUGAUGCUGAUAAUGCCCAAGGUUGCUGGUUCGAUCCCUGUAUGCA
This 72-nucleotide transfer RNA is filed under the name Podarcis lilfordi (Lilford's wall lizard). RNAcentral's name for it is "tRNA.Tyr". Lineage: Eukaryota; Metazoa; Chordata; Lepidosauria; Squamata; Lacertidae. The record is from RNAcentral.